This 447-nucleotide ribosomal RNA is filed under the name uncultured bacterium. RNAcentral's name for it is "bacterial SSU rRNA". It matches the Rfam family "Bacterial small subunit ribosomal RNA", at positions 29 to 514 of the family's 1533-position model. The record is from RNAcentral.
AACGAACGCUGGCGGCAUGCCUAACACAUGCAAGUCGAACGGGAUCCUAGCUUGCUAGGUGAGAGUGGCGGACGGGUGAGUAACACGUGGGAAUCUGCCUUUUGGUUCGGGAUAACCGCGGGAAACUGCGGCUAAUACCGAAUGCCCUCGAGAGAGGAAAGAUUUAUCGCCAGAAGAGGAGCCCGCGUCCGAUUAGGUAGUUGGUGGGGUAAAGGCCUACCAAGCCGACGAUCGGUAGCUGGUCUGAGAGGAUGAUCAGCCACACUGGGACUGAGACACGGCCCAGACUCCUACGGGAGGCAGCAGUGGGAAUAUUGGACAAUGGGCGAAAGCCUGAUCCAGCAAUGCCGCGUGAGUGAUGAAGGCCCUAGGGUUGUAAAGCUCUUUUACCAGGGAUGAUAAUGACAGUACCUGGAGAAUAAGCUCCGGCUAACUCCGUGCCAGCAG